CUUUAGGGUAAAAUCAAAUUAGUAGCUUGUGAUUUUUUUUUCUCUUCGUCAGCUUCUCCGUUAAUAUUUCGUUAAAUUAUAUAUAAAAUAUUUUAGAUACUCUACGAAUAUUCACUUUAGGUUUCGUUUGGGAUUACGGGGAGAUUGCAUUACGUGCGGUCAAAAAGUACGUUGGAAAAAUGCCAUGUUUGUUUCCGUACCUAAUAUUGCGUUCCGCAUAUCGCGAUGAGUCGGUUACAAUAUAUUUUCUGCGGUCCCACCGGAGAACGCAGAAGCAUAUCCCUAUAUGCUUUUUUCUUCAAUUCUAUUUUAUCUAAUAGGGUCAGAUAGGUCUCAAUACCAAACUAAGCCUUAGUACUCUUUAGCUUUAACUUUGCCAUUGAUUUAAUAAAAAAAAAUUAGUAUAAUAAAUAAUAAAAAGAGAAAAAUAAAAUUACGGAGUACUAAAUUGAUAUACUUUAAACCAUAGUGUACUAAAGUGAGAAAGUGUGAAACCACAAAGGUGAUAUUUAAAGUUUUUCUUUUUUCAAAGUAAAAACUUAUAUAGAAUUUAUCUAAACUUAGUUUAAAUCUGUAUAGCUAUCUAAUCAUUUAAAAUUUUUAUUCUUAUAUUUAAAUUUUAAAUUUAUUAGCUGAUUCAAAUUAAAUAAAUUAAAAGAUUGAAAAAUAAAAUCAAAAUUUUAAAAGAUUUAUAGCUUACUCAAAAUAAUUUG
This 713-nucleotide long non-coding RNA is filed under the name Ananas comosus (pineapple). RNAcentral describes it as "long non-coding RNA (ACOM_LNC004559)". Lineage: Eukaryota; Viridiplantae; Streptophyta; Magnoliopsida; Poales; Bromeliaceae. The record is from RNAcentral.